RNAcentral lists this ribosomal RNA (253 nucleotides) under uncultured bacterium. RNAcentral's name for it is "partial 16S ribosomal RNA". It matches the Rfam family "Bacterial small subunit ribosomal RNA", at positions 524 to 776 of the family's 1533-position model. The record is from RNAcentral.
UACAGAGGUCUCAAGCGUUGUUCGGAUUCAUUGGGCGUAAAGGGUGCGUAGGCGGCGCGGUAAGUCGGGUGUGAAAUUUCGGAGCUUAACUCCGAAACUGCAUUCGAUACUGCCGUGCUUGAGGACUGGAGAGGAGACUGGAAUUCAUGGUGUAGCAGUGAAAUGCGUAGAGAUCAUGAGGAAGACCAGUGGCGAAGGCGGGUCUCUGGACAGUUCCUGACACUGAGACACGAAGGCCAGGGGAGCAAACGGG